AACGAACGCUGGCGGCAUGCCUAACACAUGCAAGUCGAACGAGACCUUCGGGUCUAGUGGCGCACGGGUGCGUAACGCGUGGGAACCUGCCCUUAGGUUCGGAAUAACUCCCCGAAAGGGGUGCUAAUACCGGAUAAUGUCUUCGGACCAAAGAUUUAUCGCCUUUGGAUGGGCCCGCGUUGGAUUAGCUAGUUGGUAGGGUAAAAGCCUACCAAGGCGACGAUCCAUAUCUGGUCUGAGAGGAUGAUCAGCCACACUGGGACUGAGACACGGCCCAGACUCCUACGGGAAGCAGCAGUGGGGAAUAUUGGACAAUGGGCGAAAGCCUGAUCCAGCAAUGCCGCGUGAGUGAUGAAGGCCUUAGGGUUGUAAAGCUCUUUUACCCGGGAUGAUAAUGACAGUACCGGGAGAAUAAGCUCCGGCUAACUCCGUG
This 433-nucleotide ribosomal RNA is filed under the name uncultured bacterium. RNAcentral's name for it is "partial 16S ribosomal RNA". It matches the Rfam family "Bacterial small subunit ribosomal RNA", at positions 29 to 507 of the family's 1533-position model. The record is from RNAcentral.